GGAGACUCUAAGACUUCUGAAGAGUUUCUUGCUUCUUUCCUGUGGGGCAGUGACUCCACUUCCCAGCAGUAAUGGAAUAUCCUGAAUUAGCUACAUUAAUGUUAGAACCAUUUGGACCUCACCCAGGACUUCAACUACAUUAUGAGUAACUCCUGGACGAUUGGCACAGAAGAAGGCACAAGGCAAAUACCCAUCUCUGUACACCCUGUGCUACUGUGUCAUGUGCUGCUCCAGGCAACUCCAAUGGAUUGGCCACCCUGGCCAAUGUGUGAGUUAUAAAGCAAUGAUGUGUAGCUAUUGAACCUACAAUUUGGUUAAAGUUAAACUCUCAAGUUUUAUAUGUUUACAAGCAUAUUGUCCUUUUGUUAAUUUCCUCCCAGUACUCAUUUCUUGACUUCUUUUAGUUUUACUAUGUAGUAAUUUUUAAAAUGUUAGUCAAAGUUAGUUAAUUUAAUUCACUUAGCAGAUUUUCCUGUAAUUUUGGUUAAACAGUAUCCUUUCUGUACAGGCCCUCCAAACACCAGCACUGAGUAGAAAGAGGCUCUGAUUCAUGAAAUGUGAAUUUAUGACAGUUGCCACUCUUAAAAAAAAAAACAAACAGACAGAACU
RNAcentral lists this long non-coding RNA (609 nucleotides) under Homo sapiens (human). RNAcentral describes it as "non-protein coding STARD13-AS:55". The record is from RNAcentral. Lineage: Eukaryota; Metazoa; Chordata; Mammalia; Primates; Hominidae.